Molecule: long non-coding RNA, 2067 nt
Filed under: Anthonomus grandis grandis
Lineage: Eukaryota; Metazoa; Arthropoda; Insecta; Coleoptera; Curculionidae
Description: uncharacterized LOC126749013
Source: RNAcentral
UGUCAUACUUUAAUGAUUAUGAUACAUUUAAUGAUUGUAUACUUUUACACAAUAUAACACCAUUAGCAAAAUGGUGAAAAUUUAAAUAGAACUUCUAGGUCCAAAAAGCAGUAUAUUUAGAAAAUAUAUACAGUAUACUCGCGGUAAUGUGAACUUUUUUAUGAACAACUCAUUCAUGUGAACACCAAUAUUUUUCUAUGUUAAUUCUAUAGUGUGAACAAACCCAUAUUUCGAUAAUGUGAAUUUUAAGAAAUCUUUAGUAAUCCUGUGUAGACUUGUCUAGGCUUGUUAGUGGAUAUUGGGUUUACGCAUUUGAAACAUUGUUUGGUCAUUUACUUGAUGUUAGAUAAGAGAGAGUGUCGCAUCUUGCGCAGUGGCCUUUUAAAAUGGUUAAAAUUAAUAAGAAGUGUUUAAUUCUUUAUGAGAAAUCAAAAAUUUUGGAAGUGCACAAAUAUGGUAUGAGUGUUACUGCACUAGCAGAGAAAUAUCAAAUAGCAAAAUCAACUAUUUGUGCAAUUAAAAAUAAAGAAGAAAAAAUUCUAAAAGUUGUUGGAGAGAGUUUAAGACCUAAUAAAAUAAAAAAAUGCACUUUAAAAAGUGCAGAAAACCCCAAGAUGGAAACUUUGCUGUAUAAAUGGUUUACCAAACAGCAAGAACGAAAUUUGCCAGUUAUGGGUGAUAUGCGUAAUGAAAAGGUUAUAGAUUUACAUAACUCAACGAUAAAUUUAAUGCAGGAGAUGGAUGGCUUUAAAAAUUUAAAUGGAGAUAUGGUAUAAGGCUGCUUAAAAUUGCAGGUGAAAAGUUGUCCUCACAGCCUCACCUUGUAAAUCCCUUUAUUGAAGGCUUAAGAAAAAAGAUAAAGCAGCUUAAUCUUAGUGAAGAUCAAAUUUAUAAUGCAGAUGAGACGGGUUUAUAUUGGAGGUUAUUUCCAGAUAAAACCUAUGUUGCAAUUUUUGAAAAAACGGCGCCUGGUCUAAAAAUAGCUAAACAAAGAAUAACUCUUUUGGGGUGCACAAAUGCUACAGGAUCACACAAAAUAACGCAUCUAGUACUAGGAAAAGCAAAAUCACCCAGAUGUUUUAAAGUAUUUGAUAAUCCAGUCAUCUUAUAGAUGAUGAAGCAGUUAUAGAACUUACAAGCUCUUAUAGACGAUGAAGCACUAAAAAUGCCUGGAUGACACACGAAAUUUUUAAAAAAAUUAAAAAUUUUUGGUUUUUAAGCAUUUUGUUCCAGAGGUUAAAUCAUUUUUACAAAGCAAAAACCUUCCUUUAAAAGCCCUUCUCCUGUUAGACAAUGCCCCUUUGCAUCCACCGGCAGAAGAAUGAAAAACUUUUGAUGGACACAUUUUUGUUGUCUAGAUGCCCCCAAAUGUUACACCAUUAAUUCAACCAUUAGACCAAAAUGUUUUGCGAAUAACCAAACUAUUUUACAGAAAAGGCCUAUUAAGUUCAAUUGUAUCAUAGGGUCAAGGAGUAGCUGAGGCUCUAAAAGUUAUAACUUUAAGAGAUGCUAUUAUGCAAUUGCAUAUGGCCUGGCAAAAAAUAGAGCCUUUAGUAAUUUCAAAAUGUUGGAAUAAUAUUUUGGAAAAAAAUUUGGAGGAGGAUGGCCUACCUUUAGCUUGACUAAAAGAGAUGUGGGAAAAUGAUGUUAGACCAGCUGCAGUUAAUGAAACCAUUACAUUGCUUCAAACAAUUGAACAGAUUGAUUAUAAUCCCAAAGAUAUUGAGGAAUGGAAUACAGAUGCAGUGGAGGAAAAUCUCAAUAGCAAUGAUUCAGAAAAUAGUGACUGCGAGAUAUUAACUUUUGAAGAAAAAAAAGUUACGCAUUUCGAGGCUCUUGCAGCCUUGGAAAUUGUCACACAAUGGGCCAAUCAAAACUAUGUUGACAUAAAGGUCAUUAUUACACUAAAAGGUUUAAAAGAAGAGGCUGAAGCCUUAAACCUGUCGCAAAAAAAAGUGCAAACAAAAAUUACAUCUUUUUUUAAAUAAAACUUUUGUAUAAUGCUUAAAACUGUAAUAAAUAAAUACAAACAUAAAUAAAGUACAAUGUAGUUCCCUUUUUUUAAUA